GAUGAACGCUGGCUACAGGCUUAACACAUGCAAGUCGAGGGGAAACGGCAUUGAGUGCUUGCACUGAAUGGACGUCGACCGGCGCACGGGUGAGUAACGCGUAUCCAACCUUCCCGUUACUGCGGGAUAACCUGCCGAAAGGCAGACUAAUACCGCAUGUUCUUCGAUGACGGCAUCAGAUUCGAAGCAAAGAUCCGUCGGUAACGGAGGGGGAUGCGUCUGAUUAGCUUGUUGGCGGGGUAACGGCCCACCAAGGCAACGAUCAGUAGGGGUUCUGAGAGGAAGGUCCCCCACAUUGGAACUGAGACACGGUCCAAACUCCUACGGGAGGCAGCAGUGAGGAAUAUUGGUCAAUGGACGGAAGUCUGAACCAGCCAAGUAGCGUGCAGGAAGACGGCCCUAUGGGUUGUAAACUGCUUUUGUAUGGGGAUAAAGUCAAUCACGUGUGAUUGUUUGCAGGUACCAUACGAAUAAGGACCGGCUAAUUCCGUGCCAGCAGCCGCGGUAAUACGGAAGGUUCGGGUGUUAUCCGGAUUUAUUGGGUUUAAAGGGAGCGUAGGCCGGAGAUUAAGUGUGUUGUGAAAUGUAGACGCUCAACGUCUGACUUGCAGCGCAUACUGGUUUCCUUGAGUACGCACAACGUUGGCGGAAUUCGUCGUGUAGCGGUGAAAUGCUUAGAUAUGACGAAGAACUCCGAUUGCGAAGGCAGCUGACGGGAGCGCAACUGACGCUGAAGCUCGAAGGUGCGGGUAUCGAACAGGAUUAGAUACCCUGGUAGUCCGCACAGUAAACGAUGGAUGCCCGCUGUUGGUACCUAGUAUCAGCGGCUAAGCGAAAGCAUUAAGCAUCCCACCUGGGGAGUACGCCGGCAACGGUGAAACUCAAAGGAAUCGACGGGGGCCCGCACAAGCGGAGGAACAUGUGGCUUAAUUCGAUGAUACGCGAGGAACCCUACCGGGCCUGAAUUGCAGAGGAAGGAUUUAGAGAUAGUGACGCCCCUUCGGGGGUCUCUGUGAAGGUGCCUGCAUGGGUUGUCGUCAGCCUCGUGCCGUGAGGUGUCGGCUUUAAGUGCCAUAACGAGCGCCACCCGCUCUCUUCAGUUGCCAUCAGGGUUAGCUGGGCACUCAUGAAAACCCGUCUACGUUAGGGUUAGGACGGUGGGAUACGUCAAGCAGCACGCCCUAGUUCGGGC
RNAcentral lists this ribosomal RNA (1192 nucleotides) under Prevotella sp. oral taxon G64. RNAcentral describes it as "bacterial SSU rRNA". It matches the Rfam family "Bacterial small subunit ribosomal RNA", at positions 28 to 1214 of the family's 1533-position model. The record is from RNAcentral. Lineage: Bacteria; Pseudomonadati; Bacteroidota; Bacteroidia; Bacteroidales; Prevotellaceae.